This 305-nucleotide ribosomal RNA is filed under the name uncultured bacterium. RNAcentral describes it as "partial 16S ribosomal RNA". It matches the Rfam family "Bacterial small subunit ribosomal RNA", at positions 335 to 658 of the family's 1533-position model. The record is from RNAcentral.
AUCCUACGGGGGGCAGCAGUGGGGGAUAUUGCACAAUGGGGGGAACCCUGAUGCAGCGACGCCGCGUGGGUGAAGAAGCGCCUCGGCGCGUAAAGCCCUGUCAGCAGGGAAGAAAAUGACGGUACCUGAAGAAGAAGCCCCGGCUAACUACGUGCCAGCAGCCGCGGUAAUACGUAGGGGGCAAGCGUUAUCCGGAUUUACUGGGUGUAAAGGGGGCGCAGACGGCGAUGCAAGCCAGGAGUGAAAGCCCGGGGCUCAACUCCGGGACUGCUUUUGAAACUGUUGAACUAGAUUGCAGGAGAGGG